Molecule: unclassified non-coding RNA, 208 nt
Filed under: uncultured Mucorales
Lineage: Eukaryota; Fungi; Mucoromycota; Mucoromycetes; Mucorales
Description: sequence contains ITS1
Source: RNAcentral
AAUAAUCAAUAAUUUUGGCUUUGCCACUAUUAUCUAUUUACUGUGAACUGUAUUAUUAUUUGACGUUUGAAGGAUGUUUCAAUGUUAUAAGGAUAGACAUUGGAAAUGUUAACUGAGUCAUAAUCAAGCUUUUGUUUGGUAUCCUAUUAUUAUUUACCAAAAGAAUUCAGAAUUAAUAUUGUAACAUAGACCUAAAAAAUCUAUAAAA